CGCGUAGGAAUCUACCUGAUAGUGGGGAAUAGCCCGAAGAAAUUCGGAUUAAUGCCGCAUAAUCUCUAUGGAGUAAAGAAGGCCUCUAUUUAUAAGCUUUCGCUAUCAGAUGAGCUUGCGUCGGAUUAGCUUGUUGGUGGGGUAAAGGCCUACCAAAGCGACGAUCCGUAGCUGGUCUGAGAGGAUGAUCAGCCACACUGGGACUGAGACACGGCCCAGACUCCUACGGGAGGCAGCAGUGGGGAAUAUUGGACAAUGGGGGCAACCCUGAUCCAGCAAUGCCGCGUGUGUGAAGAAGGC
RNAcentral lists this ribosomal RNA (300 nucleotides) under uncultured Oceanospirillales bacterium. RNAcentral describes it as "bacterial SSU rRNA". It matches the Rfam family "Bacterial small subunit ribosomal RNA", at positions 114 to 415 of the family's 1533-position model. Lineage: Bacteria; Pseudomonadati; Pseudomonadota; Gammaproteobacteria; Oceanospirillales. The record is from RNAcentral.